GAGUAAGGAGUUUCAGGGUGUCUCUACUCAGAGUGCAGCGGUCUCUUGUUGGUGCUGGAUGUAAUCAGUCUUCGCAGGCAGGAGGAAGGUUGGCUGUGGAGUCGGUCUGUGAAAAUACACUGCAACAAUGAUCAUCAGACUCGGAAGACUGACUCCAGGAUACUUCCGCCUUUUGCAGCGGCAGGUCUCUGGUGAAGUGCGGAUGCAGCCGCAGACCGGCCCUGUCAAUCACAUCGCUAUGACGAUGGCCACACUGGGAUUAGGGAUGUCCUGCUACAGCGCCCGGCAGAUGGCUGAGCGGGUCCACCUGAAGGAGGCUUCAGCUUGAGACGCCGCCCCCUAUAGGCCACGAGAGGACACCUCACUACACACCACACCAU
Molecule: long non-coding RNA, 380 nt
Organism: Sardina pilchardus (European sardine)
Lineage: Eukaryota; Metazoa; Chordata; Actinopteri; Clupeiformes; Clupeidae
Exons: 3
Source: RefSeq, a predicted model, not a curated record